GCUGGGCAUGGUGGCACAUGCUUGUAAUCCCAGCUACUAGGGAGGCUGAGGCAGGAGGAUCACUUGAGCCUAGGAGGCUGAGGUUGCAGUGAGCCAUGAUCGAGCCACUGCACUCCAGCCUGGGCAACAAAGCAAGACUCUGUCUCAG
RNAcentral lists this small RNA (148 nucleotides) under Papio anubis (olive baboon). Its description in RNAcentral is "Metazoan signal recognition particle RNA (ENSPANG00000039815.1)". The record is from Rfam by way of RNAcentral. Lineage: Eukaryota; Metazoa; Chordata; Mammalia; Primates; Cercopithecidae.